GCUCAACCGGGGAGGGUCAUUGGAAACUGGGGAACUUGAGUGCAGAAGAGGAGAGUGGAAUUCCACGUGUAGCGGUGAAAUGCGUAGAGAUGUGGAGGAACACCAGUGGCGAAGGCGACUCUCUGGUCUGUAACUGACGCUGAGGCGCGAAAGCGUGGGGAGCGAACAGGAUUAGAUACCCUGGUAGUCCACGCCGUAAACGAUGAGUGCUAAGUGUUAGAGGGUUUCCGCCCUUUAGUGCUGCAGCAAACGCAUUAAGCACUCCGCCUGGGGAGUACGGUCGCAAGACUGAAACUCAAAGGAAUUGACGGGGGCCCGCACAAGCGGUGGAGCAUGUGGUUUAAUUCGAAGCAACGCGAAGAACCUUACCAGGUCUUGACAUCCUCUGACAACCCUAGAGAUAGGGCUUCCCCUUCGGGGGCAGAGUGACAGGUGGUGCAUGGUUGUCGUCAGCUCGUGUCGUGAGAUGUUGGGUUAUGUCCCGCAACGAGCGCAACCCUUGAUCUUAGUUGCCAGCAUUCAGUUGGGCACUCUAAGGUGACUGCCGGUGACAAACCGGAGGAAGGUGGGGAUGACGUCAAAUCAUCAUGCCCCUUAUGACCUGGGCUACACACGUGCUACAAUGGGCAGAACAAAG
Molecule: ribosomal RNA, 637 nt
Filed under: uncultured bacterium
Lineage: Bacteria
Description: bacterial SSU rRNA
Rfam family: Bacterial small subunit ribosomal RNA
Source: RNAcentral